UUUCCGUAGGUGAACCUGCGGCAAGCUCAUUA
This 32-nucleotide ribosomal RNA is filed under the name Pythium aphanidermatum. Its description in RNAcentral is "partial 18S ribosomal RNA". The record is from RNAcentral. Lineage: Eukaryota; Oomycota; Peronosporomycetes; Pythiales; Pythiaceae.